Long non-coding RNA from Zalophus californianus (California sea lion), 272 nucleotides. RefSeq lists it as uncharacterized. The record is from RefSeq and is a predicted model, not a curated record. The transcript has 3 exons. NCBI's taxonomy places the organism in Eukaryota, Metazoa, Chordata, Mammalia, Carnivora, Otariidae.
AUCAGCCACAUGCAGACUUUAUGCAGGAGUUGGAGAUAAAGAUAAACAAAAUAUAGCCUCUGCUUUUAAAGAAUUCCUAAUGUAGUGAAGAGGAGAUCUUCAAGGACCACAAAAGUGUAGGGACCCAACUCAUGGUUAACUGCCUCAGUGAAGCUAUCUCUGAGAUCCUCAGCCAAAAUUACUAUUUGCAAUCCUCUAAAACAGUGGUUCUCAAAGUGUAGUCACCAGACCAACAGCAGCGACAAUACCUGCGCUCUUAUUGGAGAUUCAAA